This 450-nucleotide ribosomal RNA is filed under the name uncultured cyanobacterium. RNAcentral describes it as "bacterial SSU rRNA". It matches the Rfam family "Bacterial small subunit ribosomal RNA", at positions 28 to 524 of the family's 1533-position model. The record is from RNAcentral. Lineage: Bacteria; Bacillati; Cyanobacteriota.
GAUGAACGCUGGCGGUAUGCUUAACACAUGCAAGUCGAACGGUACCUUCGGGUAUAGUGGCGGACGGGUGAGUAACGCGUGAGAAUCUGUCUUCAGGUCGGGGACAACAGUUAGAAAUGGCUGCUAAUACCGGAUGUGCCGUAAGGUGAAAGAUUUAUUGCCUGAAAAGAGCUCGCGUCAAAUUAGCUAGUAGGUGGUGUAAGAGACUACCUAGGCGACGAUCUGUAGCUGGUCUGAGAGGACGAUCAGCCACACUGGAACUGAGACACGGUCCAGACUCCUACGGGAGGCAGCAGUGGGGAAUUUUCCGCAAUGGGCGAAAGCCUGACGGAGCAAUACCGCGUGAGGGACGAAGGCUUUUGGGUCGUAAACCUCUUUUAUUAGGGAAGAUUUCAGGACGGUACCUAAUGAAUAAGCAUCGGCUAACUCUGUGCCAGCAGCCGCGGUAAU